This 279-nucleotide long non-coding RNA is filed under the name Mytilus galloprovincialis (Mediterranean mussel). Lineage: Eukaryota; Metazoa; Mollusca; Bivalvia; Mytilida; Mytilidae. The record is from RNAcentral.
GGACGCCUCUGGCGACGGAAUUAUUAGGUUGGUUCGCUGUCUCGUUUUUGCGACAAAAAACGCAGGCUCGACGAAAAGGAAAAGAAUGUCAACAUUGAAAGUAAAACAAAAGGGAUGGACCAUUUAGUUGACUUUUUCAAUCCACAAAAAGAUCAUUCUUAUACAGAAAGAAACGAUGAUAAAAUUUUGUUGGAGGUAUAUAAGCUUAAGUUUGGAGGUCUUAAAGAACUCAUAAAAACACGGAAAUAUGAAAAUGUGACUCUUAACGCCAUCAAUUUG